AGCAGCCGCGGUAAUUCCAGCUCCAAUAGCGUAUAUUAAAGUUGUUGCAGUUAAAAAGUUCGUAGUUGAAUUUCGGGGUUAGUAGGUUGGUCAUGCCUCUGGUAUGUACUGGUCUCACUGAUUCCUCCUUCCUGAUGAACCUUAAUGCCAUUAAUUUGGUGUUUUGGGGAAUUUGGACUGUUACUUUGAAAAAAUUAGAGUGUUUAAAGCAAGCUAACGCUUGAAUACAUUAGCAUGGAAUAAUGAAAUAGGACGUUCGAUCCUAUUUUGUUGGUUUCUAGGAUUGACGUAAUGAUUAAUAGGGAUAGUUGGGGGCAUUAGUAUUCAAUUGUCAGAGGUGAAAUUCUUGGAUUUAUUGAAGACUAACUACUGCGAAAGCAUUUGCCAAGGAUGUUUUCAUUAAUCAAGAACGAAAGUUAGGGGAUCGAAGACGAUCAGAUACCGUCGUAGUCUUAACCAUAAACUAUGCCGACUAGGGAUCGGAUGAUGUUAAUUUUUUAAUGACUCAUUCGGCGCCUUACG
RNAcentral lists this ribosomal RNA (522 nucleotides) under uncultured Glomeromycotina. Its description in RNAcentral is "SSU rRNA". It matches the Rfam family "Eukaryotic small subunit ribosomal RNA", at positions 569 to 1092 of the family's 1831-position model. The record is from RNAcentral. Lineage: Eukaryota; Fungi; Glomeromycota.